RNAcentral lists this ribosomal RNA (267 nucleotides) under uncultured bacterium. RNAcentral's name for it is "partial 16S ribosomal RNA". The record is from RNAcentral.
CUGCUGCCUCCCGUAGGAGUCUGGUCCGUGUCUCAGUACCAGUGUGGGGGACCUUCCUCUCAGAACCCCUACGCAUCGUCGCCUCGGUGGGCCGUUACCCCGCCGACUAGCUAAUGCGACGCAUGGCCAUCCUAUGCCGGAGUCGCCUCCUUUGACCCCCAAGAAGAUGUCUCCUAAAGGUGUUAUGCGGUAUUAGACGGAAUUUCUUCCGCUUAUCCCCCUGCAUAGGGCAGGUUCCAUACGUGUUACUCACCCGUGCGCCGGUCG